RNAcentral lists this unclassified non-coding RNA (21 nucleotides) under Mus musculus (house mouse). Its description in RNAcentral is "oocyte_clustered_small_RNA10496". The record is from RNAcentral. Lineage: Eukaryota; Metazoa; Chordata; Mammalia; Rodentia; Muridae.
UGUAUCAGCUCCUGCUCCUGA